CCGAGCUCCUGCCCUUCGGGGUAGAGACGCCACCCUUGUGUAUUAGACCGAUGUUGCUUUGGCGGGCCCGCCCGCCAGAGACCCCAAACCCUAAGUGUUAGUGUCGUCAGAGUACUAUUCAAUAGUUA
RNAcentral lists this unclassified non-coding RNA (128 nucleotides) under uncultured Dothideomycetes. RNAcentral's name for it is "sequence contains ITS1". Lineage: Eukaryota; Fungi; Ascomycota; Dothideomycetes. The record is from RNAcentral.